CUGAACUAAAAUAGUUGUUAUUAAACAUUUUUCCAAGACUGGUAACUUAUGAUGCUCUCUAUACCCAUAUUCUGGCUCUCAUCUCCAGAACACUUGAAAGGGGCUGAGGACAGGAAAAGUGACAUGAAAGAACCACAUAGCUGGCUUUCCAAAAGGAUCCAGAUACAAUGAAGUAGAGAAAAUUCGGCAGGGAACUCACCAUGGACAGAGAAGACUGCACUCUCACGGAGCGCACGCAUUCCCUAAAAACUGCAAUUGGAAGAGUAGAAGUAACAGAAGGAAACACAGAAAGGAACACAUUCCAAGAUGUGCUAGAAUCAUGGGCCCCAGCCUCUGUCUUCAGCUCUUUUCAUAUUCAGAACAGUCUAGAUCCUUGACACCUAUGUAAGGUUAUGCAUCAACUGCCCAGUGAAGCAGGCACCAAUAGAACAGCUGCCUGGGACUGGAUUCUCUCCAACACCCAGGCCCACACAGCCCAGAGCCGAAAAACUGGGGCUGCCACUUGGAUAGUGAGCCCCUCACAGUCUCUCCUGUUGGAAAAGAAAGAGCUCUUGCACUUAGAUGCAUAGAAACCCAGGCCUGGGAAGGGAAGAGAAAAAGAAGACUGAGCCAGCAGGUGAGAAACAAAAGUGAAGGCAGAGGUUUCUGGAGCAAGGUUUCUUCCCCAGACAAAUAAUUGCCAGCAGGCUGCCUGCAGUGAGUCACGUCCUUUGUCCAAGUCACAGACCCAGAAAGUUCAGAUUGUCCAAGUCCUUUAUCCAAGUCACAGCCCCUUACGUUCUUUGUCCAAGUCUUCCUGCUGCUCCCCAAACCUCCACCUUCUAUGCCAUUUGCUGCCUAAGGGAAAAACAUCUCUCCAUUUUCAACAGCACGAAUUCAGCACCCAUGGGCAUGUCUGGAAGGGGCAGCCAUGUGGAGCUGGCAUCCAGCUCCAUCAACAGCAUGAUAAGGGAAGACAGGCAUGGAGCUACCCUGGAGGCCCCUGAGAGAGCAAGGUUAUAACAGGCAAAGUGUGAGGUUAUAAGAGCAAAAUGUAAGAUCUGCACACAACCUCUUACCUCUUAAAGUCCUCAUGCCCAUUGUCUCCAUUUAUUUAAGGGGUAAGCCUACAGACUGAGAUAGAUGGGGAUCAUUUCAUCCACUUUUCAGAUGUGUAACUCUCUGCAGCAGGGUCAGGAUCACGGGUUCUGGCUCUUGAUUCUUGACUUUUUCUAUGUUACUUGGUAUCAGCUGAGGGCCCGAGGAACUGGAGUGAAUGUGUAAGGAAAGUUGAGGCAGCUACUCCUUGGGGCUCAGGAUAGGUCCCUGCUGCCUUGACUGGAUUACGUGGAGUGCACUCCCGAGGUGGAGGUGGACCUGAAGACCUCUGAAAACUCUGAUUUCUGCCGCUGAGGCAAAGCUGUAAGAAGAAAGUGGGGUGGGGUACAGGCUGGCAGCAGUUUGGUUAAGCCUCCAAGAAAAGCCACUGGAGCUGGCCUUGUGGACAAGGCCCCAGGCCCUGCAGUACUGGCAGUCCAAGCCAUUAGUUUGGUUUUCUUUACAUCUUCGAGUAGGGAGCAACUUAUUUUGAUCUAUUUUUAAAAUUCAAUUUAAUUUUUUCAUUGACAAAUCAUAACUGUACAUAUUCAUAGGGAAUAUAGUAAUAUUUGAAUACAUAGGAUGUAUAGUGAUCAGGUCAGGAUAAUUAGUACAUCCAUUAACUCAAACAGUUGUCAUUGCUUUGUGUUGGGAACAUUCAAUAUCUUCCAUCUAUUUAUUUGAAACUGUAUAGUAUAUUAUUGUUUACUGCAGUCAUCCUACAGUGCAAUAUAUAGAACCCUAGACCUUAUUAUAAAGAGAAAAGUUCAUGGUUGUGUCGGACCCACAGCACACAUGAGUAAAGGGACCUGGACCACGCUGGGAGCAGGGGUCAUGUCCACUCUGCAGAGCCGCCCCACCCCAGAGCAGGACCCCAGGCCCUGAGUGCCCGCAAUUAGGAGCCUUGGCCUCAGGACAGUUCAGAUCUCUGGUCUGAGAACAUCCCCCACUGCAUCUUCUGCUCAGAGCAGCCAGUAAUGGUGGAUAAGGUCAAGGGAGAAAAUAUAUUGGCUCCUCCAAACCCUAAAAUACUCCUGCCUCAAGCAAGGUUUUUCAGGGGCUCCCUACAGUCUCUCUGCUGCCACUGCCUAAGCACAGGGCAUUCUUGAUUGUCUCAGGCAAAGCCCUCACUCCCCUAGCCCUUUCUGAGACU
Molecule: long non-coding RNA, 2230 nt
Filed under: Homo sapiens (human)
Lineage: Eukaryota; Metazoa; Chordata; Mammalia; Primates; Hominidae
Description: HSALNT0184394
Source: RNAcentral